RNAcentral lists this long non-coding RNA (3649 nucleotides) under Taeniopygia guttata (zebra finch). RNAcentral's name for it is "lncRNA (ENSTGUG00000024422.1)". The record is from RNAcentral. Lineage: Eukaryota; Metazoa; Chordata; Aves; Passeriformes; Estrildidae.
UUUUUUUUUUAUUUUCCUGAAUGACACUAGAAUUCAAUGUAAUUAUAUUGGUAUAGACUCUCCCUUCUCCUGAAAUAAGCCUUUCUCUUGUGUUAAAUUUGUUUUUGUGGCUCAGAUUAGGCCCUCUGACUGAAGGUAAAUAAAAAAGAAUUAUUCAUAAUUAUAAUAUGUACAUAGGAAGUCAGAAAGGAAAAAAUGUAGCUCUACUAAUGAUAGUAGGUAGCUUCCCUCUAGCUCUCCCCAAGCUAAGCCACUGGCAGAAACUGGGCCUAUAAAAAGGUAAAGCUCAGUACCUUCCAAAUAAAUACAUAGCAAAAGAAGUAGUAAAGGGUUAGAGUUGUGCAAAGUGAUUAUGACAGUAAGUCAGUCCAAGAAAAAAAAGUCAUUUGAUAAAAACCUAGGCUCUUACACGCAGGAAAAAUGCAACCCUCAAAAUCACAGUAAAUUAUAGUUAAUUAUUUCAUACACAGUAUGUGUAAUAUCGGAAUUCCAAAUCCAACAAUGCUGAAGAACAAUAUCCCAUUCCUAUGUGGACAAACACUGCAGAAAAUCUCCAAGCAGUCUCAUAAACUUCAUCAGAACUUCAUCAGAGAGCCACACUGCAGACAAGCACGUGCCUGCUAAGAACCUAAUGUGCCGGGGUUUAUCUGGGGGCAGGAGGGGAGCUGUUUAGAAUUGGAAUGAAAGCAGCAGGUUUAGUUUUAGUGCAGAGAAAUUUUAAUAACAGCAACAGAUGAAACCGUAAUAGUCUGAUCCUAUCCUCAGGAAGGAACCUUCAGCAAGUAAUAAAUUACUAACAAAAAGACUAAAAUUGUUUAACCAUUAAGGCUGGAGUUAAAACCAGUCUCAGAACACAACUGAAAAUUUCAACUUUCGAGCACGAGGAAAGUGUUCCAGUGCAAAGCUACUGAGAGCUUUAAUAAAUGUGGGCUGAAAAGAGCACAUAUUUCAAGUUAUUUGUGCCUGGGGAGGGAUGCAGCCAGACUCCAGCACAAAGCACAGGGCACUGGUUGCCAAAGGGGGGAGAGGGGCUGAAAACCCCACAUAUUUCAGUUGUGCCUGGGAAGGGAUGCAGCCAGACUCCAGCACAAAGCACAGGGCAUUGGUUGCCAAAGAGGGAGAGUUACCAUGCUGCAGCACUGAAGGCACAUGCCCAGGAAUAUGUGGAGCAUGGGUAAUCAAGCCUUGCUGGAUCAUCCUGGCUCCACCAGAGCAACCUGCUGCUCCCAGGAAAGCAGCAUGCUGGAAGGCAUCACACAAAUGCAUUUAAGUGGCCCUGGAUGAGUAAGAGGAAUUUAGGAGUGCUGCUUCAGCACUCUCUCCUCUAGCAGGGGCAGAAGUGGUGCCACCAGUCAGGGUGAAAAGAAAACUGUGGCAGCCUUUGGGAAGGAAUAAAAAGGAAAAGGCAACUACCAUGCAAUAACAGCUUCAAAGGGGCUGGAGAAGAGGAACUGAGGCAAAGAAGGUGCUCAGCACUACAUUGGCUCAAGUGAUUUCUGCUGUUUAGCAGAAAAGGUGCAGCUCAGAGGAAGGAGCAAGUGUGGGCAGGUAGGCAGGCAGCCAGGGGAGGCUGUGAGCUCAGCAGGGCUGUGAACGCUUGUUUCUCACACAGUUCAUUUCCCCCAUCUGUCUGGUUCACACUGAGGCCACGCACACACCUGUGCCAGGCCAGAACCAAGGUGCCAGAAGGGCAGGACUGAAUGCCUGGGAUUGCAGGGCUUGCACAGUGCCCCCAGAUAAAUCCACAGAAAAUCACAUGCUCAGCACCAAUAAUUUGCUGGAGGAAGCAUGCCUGAAUCUUUAAAAGUGACACAGAUCCUUGAAUGCGAAGGUUUAAUACUGCUUGAAAAACCCUCGUGAAAAGGUUUGGCAUGACCAUCUCUACAUUUGUUAUUAAAGGAGACCUUCAAAAUGUCAUGCUGCAUGGAUUUUGCCUUAAAUCGGCCUGACUAUUACCUACACAAAAUGCUUUUCUUCCAUAUCAAAAGCAAGAUGUGGUUUCUGUUUUUAAACAGAACAGUAUCCAGGUAGGUAGAAGACAAAAAAGUUACAUCCUAAUUAUAUACUUCAUGAAAUUAUGACAUUUUGAAAGCUAGAAAAUUACUUUGUUUCAUAAACAAAGUUACAGCAAAAUCACUCAGACUCAAUUUUGCAGUUGUCAUGAACUACUGGAUUACUGACUGUAAGAAAAAGAACCAUAGUUUAAGCAAUCAAUGUUUUUAAGCUGUGACAUUUUUGCUAAAAUAUUAUUAAGUUUUUAGAGAAUUCACAGUGUUUCUCUUCUUAACAUAGUCUUAUUUCAUUGGAAAAUUUUUAGUCUGCUAUCAAGUGAUCCCAUAAAGCAGGGCAGAACUAAUGGCUUUAUUAAAUAUAUUUACUUCAGGCUAAAUGGAAGGAGCAAUUAUAUUCCACUUAUGCAGGAAAACAGCUGGAACCCACUGAAGGUAGCUCAGAGUGUAAGAGAAAAUAUAAAAAGGCCUGAUCAGAAGCCUAACAGGUUCACUGAUUCAAAACACAUUGUUAGGGAACUGCCUGUCCAGCUGUGUGAGAAAGGGGCACAGGGACCUGCGAGGGAGGUGGUAAAAAGCAAUGACAAACAGAAACACACAGCCAAAAUAUCUGAGAGUCAACUUCAAGAGAUUUGAAAGGGAAAAAAAAAAAAAAAAGCAAAAAAGCAGGGCAUCUUUUUUUUCAAGUAUUAUGGUUAGAGGCAGGAAAAGCAUCUGUAAAGGAAAAGUCAAGGAGUGAGACUCCAACAGUUUCACACUUCUAAGCCUUGCUGACAAGUUUGGACUUUGUGUAAGCAGGAGAAUUGCCAAAGAAUUGAAGAUGAUGGUAAAAAGAAGCCCCCAGCACAUGAGGAGGAAUCUGCUUAAGGGUGCCUGGAAACUGUGAAUUGAGAACUAUUUAAUCAACAAAAAGAAACUAAUACUCAUGUUUUAAUUAUUUAAGCAAAAGCUGACUUAUCUUUCCUACUUACUACUUUUUUUUUUUUUUUUUAAACCUCUCUACUCUGGGUCAUGUCCAGACCAAGGACAGCAUUUUUCCUUGUCCACCAUGAGCCCAUGUGUCUUCCUUGCUGUUACAGGAUCUGUAGGUCAGCCAGAGCUUUGCAGUGCAACUGCUUAGAGCCAUUUUCCUACCACAAGCAUCACAAAAAAACCACAGAAUUCUAAACUCUAAAGCUGUAUUUCAUCACAGCCCCAAAUGAAACAAGGUGGCUUUAGACAAGGAGGAAAUGAGAGUGAGACAGAUCAUAACCAGAGUAUGUUCAGAUGUUUCCUCUCCUAAUAGAUGCUUGCAGAGCAAGCUGUAGGUCCUUAUUCUUGGUGAUGCAAUUUUUGAUGACCUUCUGAGAUACAAUAAAACUCUUCUAAGUCCCAAAAACCAGCCUUUCUUUCUGUCCUUUUUGACAACAUGGCCACUCCUAACUCCACUCAAGAGACUUCACUGUCUGUACGUUUAAUUCUAUGAAUUCCCAGCUUGCUGUCUCUCAAUUCUCUCCUAUCCUCACUUCACACAAUGAGAGUUUUUUACCUAGACUUGCCCAUGUGCUCUUGGAAGGACUCUACUGCUCGCUCUAUCCCACCGGCUCCAUCUGGCCUGGAGCGAGAAGAAGAGAAGAAAACACAACAGCAGACCUCAUCCC